RNAcentral lists this long non-coding RNA (10471 nucleotides) under Triticum aestivum (bread wheat). RNAcentral's name for it is "long non-coding RNA (TAES_LNC000202)". The record is from RNAcentral. Lineage: Eukaryota; Viridiplantae; Streptophyta; Magnoliopsida; Poales; Poaceae.
CAGCAUCGGCAAGAAGGCGACAGGCCUCGGCGACCAACACAUCGGUGACCCACAGAUGGCAACAUACCCAAGGUCCGUGACCCUCGUCCCACUCCCACUCCCUCUCUCCUUCCCCAACCGGCGACCGAUCUCUUGCUGACCAAGCCGCCGUUGUAUGCUUUGUUUCUCUGAGCAGGAGUAAAUCUUCAAUGGAAGGGGGCAAGGUCAACCAUGGGAAGGGCAGGGGCGGGAGUGUUAGUGUCCCACGGAGGAGUUUGCGUGGUCGGCAUCCAGCACCAGAGUUGCCGUGCACCGGUGAGCAACAGGGUUUCGACGACAACACCAUUAGCACCGAAAAGGGUAAUUGCUACACCAUUAGCACUGAAAAGGGUUUCGACCCGCAGACGGCAGAAAAUAACGAUGAGUCCCAUCAUAGCCCACUGGCGAUGCUGAGUGUAGACUCGCGACCCUAACGGUACCUUACUCUUCGUCUGAAUAUCUUGCAACAUGAGACGUUGCAGCCAUAUAGGUCAAUACUUUGAAUGUUGGCAAGUUACACAGGAGUAAUAAUAAAGCAGACCUACAUGUAUAUGCAUAGUAUAACAAAAGGAAGGCUUGAGGGUUUAAUUUGCAGAAAGCUGAUUUUGUCCUCAUAACUACCUAAUAGUCAAAUUUUUAUUUAGUUCUUUCAUUACUACAAUUAAAUACACAAGGUUGAGUUGGCAAAAAUCAACUCCAACCUACCCUUUAUUAAGUUGCCCACAAAUAUUAUUAAGUGUCACAUCUGUCAAGAUCAUCCAACAACUGUAAUGGAAUAGUGGCUCAAAUUUGCCCAUAACCGGGGGCACGGCUAAUCAUGAUUAGUUUUAAUACUCGUAGAGUUUAGAACGCUUUAGCCAUUGGACCCAAUCCGAAGAUUGAGAUGAAGUCUUUCAGAAGCAGUCCCCUAGUCCCAACAGGAGGCCCAUCCCAACUAUUAUGUCUACAUCUGCUGGCACAUACGGGUAAGGGUUCCACAUCUGAUCAACUAAGCAAGAGCCUAUUUAGCCUGUGGCCGCACAUGGAAGCUACUAGUCACUAAGUCUGUCUGAUCUUUUUGAGCCUAGGCGGCCAUCCACUUACAUCAGAGGGUAUAAACCAUGAUGUUCUUGAAACCACCCUAGCAAUACCACUUCCGCCCAGAGGUGAAUUAAAUCCUGAGUGACUACUCAAAUUAUUAUAUAUAUAUAUCUAUAUAUAUAUAUAUAUAUAUAUAAUCCUCACAUAAGCUCAAUUAAUACAAGAACCACCCCCGUCUACAACGCAUAGCAACUACAACUACCACCAUCUGCAAUGACAGGAGAUAGCUCAACAGACAUAGCACAAUAAAUAUAGUAAUCCUAUACAUGCAUAUAUUCAUAGUGUGAUAUAACUACAUGCAUAGAAAACAAUAGGUAAAGGAUGAUCAACAUGUAACUUGCCUUGGUUCUGGUUCAAAAAGUCACACUCCUGACAAUAGCUCGCCUCGCACUCCGGACAAUCUACACGUUUCACACAAUUCAACAAAUCAAUCAUCGGAACACAAAUAGUACCAAAAUAAAAACCAACAGCAAGAAAUCCUUUCAAAAUCUCAAGAACAACAGCAUAACAACAUGUAAAGUUAUCUACUUUGCACUACAAUCACAACACAAAAAGAACCGCUAAAUUUCGUCAAACGGUUUGAAAGUUACGGCCUCCGGAAGAUUUGAUUCAAAUUCGAACGAAAUCAAAUUUGAAAGUGCAAACACAUGAGCUUUUGGUACUGUGAUAAAGUGCUGGUUUUUGUGAGUGCGCAGGAAAAAGAAUUUCCUAAAUUGGAUCUAUGGACUAAAAGAUAUAGCAAUUUGAAGUUUUGUUUGAAAUCUGAAAAAAACAAGAAGAAACAGAUAUUCUCGUGCACUGUUCAUGACGGCUACUGUAUCAACUCCUGUAGCAAAUGCCAUGUGUCAGCUGGCGAUUGGACCAGGUGAACUCUGCUCGCACGUGCUCAUUGGAAACAGAGAACGGCAGCGGCGGUCUUGGGCGUUGGCGGCGGCGCUCCUCUGGUGGGUCUCUGGCGAAGGCGAGGUAACGGGCGGGUGCGGUGUGCGGUGGCGGUGACGAUGGUAGUGCUCAACGGCGGUGUAGCUCCCUCUGUAGGCGACGGCGACGAGGUGAACCACGGCGUGCUCCGGCGGCAGCGAUCGAGCUCAACAGGCUCGUUCGGCUGCAUUUUCGGCCAAGUAAGGAGGUCAGGGGCGUGACUCCUCGAGUGGGGAAUCUAAAGAAACAAACCACGGCGACGAAAUCGACCGGCGAUGGCGGCGGACUCCGAAGCUUUUCGGCGAGAUCGGUUCGAGCUCGGACGAAGCGUGAGGCAAUAGGAGACGUGGGAAAGGGCUGCACUAGGUUUCCCUAGGGGUUUGGUUCGCGCGCGGUGUCCCCGAGGGGAACGAGGUCGACUAGGGCGUCCGGCUCGGGGUGGAAGAUGGGUGCGGGGCCCGUUGGUCAGCGGCUGGGGCGAGGUGGAUCCCGCGCGGGCAAGCGAUGCGGGUCGGGUGUGGGCGUACCGCUUCGGCAGCGACUGCGAGCGAGCGGGCUGCGGGGCUGGCGGCGUGGAGCGAUGGGGCUAGCGGUUGGCUACGCCGCGGUUGCUGGGCCGCGCGCGUGCGCUGGCCGGCCUGCUGGCUAGCUAGCUGGCCGGCUGGCUGAUGUUUCUUUUUUUUACACAACUACAGAAACAAAAAUAACUAAAAUAAAAACAACAUAAUAAAAACUAAACAAAAUUAUAUAUACACACAGAAAAAUAUAUACUACUAAUAUAAACUACAGGAACUCUAGUUCCUUACCUAAUGCAAUUUUUGAACAUUCAUUUUAUGCAUUAGGCCACACAAAACAGCAACAAAACAGACCAGUAAAAUAUUUCGGGGACUAAGAAAAUACCAGGACAUAACAGGUGAACAGUAAAUAAUAUUCUGCACAUUAUGAACAUUUUUAAAAAGGGGGAGAAGUUAUGUUUUCUCCACUCCAAAUAAAUUUCCUUCAGUUGCAUAAUGAAAAGAAUAUUUCUGAAAAGCAAUGCAUGGAAAAAAAUAUGAGAUGCAUAUGAAUGAUCUAUUAACAUCCAAAUUAGGAAAAUUGGGAUGUUACAUCCACGACGCCGGCCUACGGCAUGGCACCGAGGAUCAUCUCCAGAGGGUGUUGGCGACUGGUUGGUUCAUGGCCAUCGUUGACGCGAGCUACGACUCUCAGUUGGACAAGAUGAUCGUUGCCACCAUCAACAAGUUCACCAUCAUCAUGAAGCUUGCGGACGACAUCGCCGUACUCCUCCAGCCCGCGCUCCCAGGCUCCUCAUUGCCUGCCACCCUAAUCGGCCUCCAUGGCGAGAACCUCUUUCAAGCACGGGUGGCCCUGCGACUGCCCGCCGACACAACGAAGAAUGUCCACCUGGAGGCCGCGCUCGUCGUGAGGCGCCUCGCCCUGCAAGAAUUCGUCGACCUACACAUCCAUGUGUACGAGGAAGUCGUGUACAUAGGUAUAUACAAGGCUGGUGAGGAUGGUACGACGUUGGCCUUCGUCAACCGGCUGGAAGUCUUGGACGCCUUCGUUGAGAAGCACCUUGACCUCGCCACAAAAUCUGCCGCUCCUAAGCCGCCGGUCGGUGGCCCAGUGCACUGAGUCGAGGAGGAGGAGGUCGUACGUUGAUGGAUGCAUCUUUCUUCUUGCCUCCUGUAACCACCACUGUGACCGCAUCAUCGUGGCCUUAAUUCUUAUUAUGCUAUUGCAUUCUCAUUCCAGUCAAUACAGACAUGUGUGAUCCCUUUGCUCACAUUUGGAGGCAAUUAUUUGCAUCACUAUAACUAGUACUCCAUCUGUCAAUUUAUAAGUUGUGCUUACCUUUUCCAUCAACUUCGUAAUUUACGUUCGAUGCUUGACCUGACCUAUGAACUACUCCUAAAUUCAAAAACUGAGACCAAACCUAUAAAUUCAAAACUACUCGUGCAUCAUGCCUGUCACACUCGCAAGUUCAAAACAAGAAACUGGAACACGUACAUGAAGCAUGUCCCUUCCGCGUCGCAUACCACACUGUCAUUCCGCCCCCCGGUCAAUGCGCAUUGGUUAGGCUUUAUAUCACUACAACAUGUGGGACCGCAUGUGACCAAACCGAUGAUGCGCCAACCUAGCUACUACCCUGCUUAUCUGGCGCGAAAAGCCCUGCCCUAGCGUUUCCAAUCGUUAUUUUUAUCUACCCAUUGUGCCAAGGAGCAAAACCAAAUGUUACAGUUUAUACAUGUUUCUCUACUCCCAUAAAAGACUCAGUUGGUGAUGGUGGUGUGUCUGCCAUCCGUCAUUUCUGACCAUUAGAUCUGUAUCUAAUGGCUGUGAGGUAAGUUGUGGCAUUUUUGCAACAAUAGACCACUUCUCUGCUCCAAUUUGCAUAAAGCAACCACAUCCCUCCCUCAGUCAUCAAAACAGCCUAAGAAAUAUAUUUCGAGUGAAAAGUAAUAUAUUUUUAGUGGUAUAUAUGAAUAUCAAAACGAGAAGUGUUUUCUUUCAAGUUUGUGAACAAGUACUAUUCUACUUUGGAUCUGUUGCAAUGCACAGGCACAUUGCUAGUAAAAGGAAAAGGCCUGUCGCGUUCGCGUUGCACCCCCACACGCCCGGGAAUCGGGAGUACUCCACGGCCCGUCCGGCACGCCACAUACCUAGGGAAGGCGUGUUGCCUAGCAUAUUCACUUUGAUGUGGGACCGCAGUGGAGCAAACCAACUAUCGGCAAACCGCACCCCGCCCGCCACGUUGGAAAAUAGAAACGAGGAGGGGAAGAUCUAGCUAUAGCACGGAAGCCAAGAAAUUUGGUGUCAGAUGGGACUCGUUGAUAGAGUAGGAGUACUCCGUACUACACCCACUACGAAGUUUGUACUACUACUACCACCACUAUACAACUAGGCACGUGCACGGCACAACAUCGUAGGAACAAAAAAGGGAAGAUCUUGUUUUGGGCGAUGUAUCUUUAUUUCAGUCAACGUAGUAUGAAUAAUAUGAUGUGGGGGCACCCACGAAGCCACGUGGCAUGUCUGGAGGUCUUAUUUAGAGCUUCUUGUGAGGAUCGAUCACACUGUCGUGCUCGUCGCUCGAGAAGAAUGUGUAUGGGUACUUAUAGAAGAUCUGAAUCGCAGCCACCUGGACCAUUGGAUCAACAUCAAUCAACGGUUUAUAUCAUGUACGUGCAAAUACACGCAUUGACUCCAAAAAAUAAUUAAUAUAGAAUGUAUAAUACAUAUACCGCAUAUUGGGUUUCUCUAAAGUCAAACUUUGUAUACUUUCAAGAAUUUGUAGAAAAAGUAUUAACAUAUACACCACCAAAUAUAUAUCAUUUGAUUCAUCAUUGCUUUUAUUUCCACAUCGUGUAUAUAUUUUUAGUGUAAAUGUUCAUAUUGUUUUCACCAAAUUAGGUCAAGCUUUAUAAAAUUUGGCUGUAGUUAAAGCUAUAUAUGUGCGGAGUAAAUUACAAACGGAGGGAGUGAAAUAGAUAUAGAUAUAACUAUACAAAUAAAAAAUAAAGUAAUAUAGUCUAUAGAUAUAAAUAAGGCUACUACCCUUUUUCUAUGUUAGAACUCGCGUUGUUGUGUACACAUUGUUUUGUUUUUGCUAUAAUUUGCAUUUCCGGGGCGUCUAUAGGACUACCGCCUUUUGUUCAGUACCAGCAGCCCCAUCAUUAUCCUUAAUUAAUUCUUAUUGGCAAUUAUGAUUGCAUUAUCUUAGUUCUAGCCAAUUCUUCGGUUUCUUGGAGGAACUCCAUCUCGUUAUUCAGGUUGAUUUUGUGCAUAUGACAAGAUCAUCGUCCAUCGAAGAUUUGUUUAGUAACGAUUGUUGAUUUGUAUCACCGGGUACGAUAUAGCUGGAUCGUCAGCGUCAAAAUCCACCAAGUCGAUACUUAUCCCCACUCUCAUUAAAAGAUUGGGUCGCCGUCAUAAGACUACCACCUAGACAAUUCCUUCCCUAUAAAAUACACAUGAGCACCCAUCUCAUUAUUCAGGUCCACGCCUCCAUCUCCCUCCCUCUAGAAACACACACACCUCUUCACACGAUGCGUGUCUCUUGGUCUCUCUUCCAUCCCAUGACGAAAAGGCACACCGUCAUUCUCUUCUUCUUGCUACCACCGUCUAUGUAGUUAGGUCUCCUUUCAACAAACAAGCAUUCAUCUGUCUCUCUACUAUAUCUUUCUACCACACAUAACCUUCCACCCCUAGCCAGCUGUGCUGUCGAGGUCUAUCCAACUCUCUCACACGCAAACAGACACUGUCUAUGUGUCCCAUCAUCGCACACACACUAUCGCUCUCCCAUAUGCGCAACCUCGUAACCUUGUUGAUCCCGACGUUACACGCACCUCUCUCUCUAACACACACACACACACACACACUCUCUCUCUUCCUUUCGGACACUCCUCUUUCUAUGACAUGCAAAGUCUUUUGAACACGCAUAUGCCCCUCUCUCGUUAGGUAUCGCUGCCCCCACCCCCUCUUUGUCACACAAUAUUCUAUAUAUAUAUAUAUAUAUAUAUAUCUCGCAAUAAUACAUGCAUUGUAUACAUUUAAACCAAGUACAAAAAUGAGCUCUAAUUACAAAAAUCAAAUCCAGUCCCAAACAGAAUAAGAAAAUAGGGUGAAAUCAUGCACACAAAUGUUUGUUGCGUGCAUGAAUGUCAAUGAUAUGGAUGUACUACUCAUACAUCACACAAACCCAUUUCACACAAAUUACAUUAAACCCUUCUCAAAAUAUGGUGCGCAUGUGAUGUUUGUUGUACUGCUCCUGCCGGCUUUCCUCCGACAUGUUCCAACAUAUUGUGCUACUUCCGAAUCUAUUUUUCUCUUCAGUUCAUGUGAAACCAUGAAAAGGUCACCGCCCGCCCCCACUAGUUCUGUAGCUCGAAGCUCCCAUAUGGACACACCACCCACCGGAGCACGCAGCCAUUGCCGAAGUGGACGGCGCCGCGGCCUGGGAAGAGGACGGAGUCUCCGACAUCGCCGAGGUGGAGCACGUCCUCUACGGCCGCGAGUAGCACGCACUGUGUUGGUGCAACAAACCCUGGAUCUGUUGUCACAUCCCCAGUUCUGGUAAUGCUUAGUACUAGCAUCUUGUGUUGCAUCAUGUUUAAGUUUCAUUUAACUUGAAGUUGGGGAUGACCAAGCCCUGGCACUAAAUCAAUUCAAAUAGGUUCAACUCAAAAUAUUUUUAAUGAACCCAGAAUGCCCUCCAAAAAUGUUCAUGAUUCUUGAUAACGGUGAAAACCUCUGCCAAAAAUGAUGCCAAUAUUUUAGGCCAUUCUGGAUUUUUGAAUUAAUCCAUAUUGUAUUUGAAUUGGAGCAAAUAAAAUCCAUAAAUAAUUUUAUAGCUCCAAAUGUUUUGGAAAUUGUUGUGGAUCUCUGGAAUAACUCAGUUAACAUCCACAAUAAUUUUCAGCAUUUAUAAAAAUGGUUUAGUGCCUAAACUAAAUCAGAAACAAACUGUAAAAAUAGAAAAGAGAAAUAAAAUAGAAACUAGAGCAGAGAGAGAGAAACCCACUUGGCUUACCUGGCCUGGCGCUGUUACAGCCCAGCUGGCUAGCACACCUGGCGGCCCAGCCCACCAGGGGCAGCCUCGUCUUCUACCUCUUGCCAGUAGGCAGAGGAGAAGCUGGGCACGGCGAACGCGCGCGCCACCUCCACCCUGCUCGCCUGCCUCCUCGACGGCCUGGACGCCUCUGGCGUUGCCACGCAGACCCCCUGGACCCCCUCGACCGCUCCCCUCUCUCCCUGCCUCGCACUCUCUCGCUCUCUCUCCCGAAGUCGAGCGGAGUCGUCGCCGCCGUCCGCUGCCACCGCGGCCACUAGCAUCCCAGCGACGCGCCGAGCUGCCCAAGAACUCCGCCUUGUACCCCUCUUCCUCCUCGUCGAGCUGUGCAACGCCGGGCGCCCCCGAGCGCCUCCACGCCGUCUUCUUCAACCUCCCGAUGCCGGAGAUCGCCAUCGCCGCCCCGCUUGCUCCGGCCCUUCCCGCGUGCACACCCGAACGCCGGCUGCCGUGGCCGAGCUCCUCGCCGUCGUUCCCGGCCAUCCUAGCAUCACCUGAGGACACCAACCGACGCGCCUCCUUGCUCCGGUUCCAACGUGCCCAGCCGCGCGAGCUCACGUCGCCGGAGUUGGCCGAACGGGCAACGCCGCUGCGUCCUGGUUACGCCGGCGAUUAGCCGCCGGUGAUAGCAACUGUUAGGGAUUAAUCACCCCACUAACUAAGCACCUAUGCCACUGACAGCCGGGCCCCACCGGCUUAGUUAAACCACUAACAAAAUUUAGUUAGACUUAACUUAAUCCCGGUGGACCCACGCGUCAGUUUUGACCUUGCUUACGUGGCCGUUGACCGGGCCCAAUUGUCAGCCACACAAACCUGCCCUGAGUCACUGACCAGUGGGCCUCACUGGUCAGGUUUGACCCGGACCAGCCCUUGUUGACCUGCUGACAUCACAGUGAUGCAAUGCUGACGCAGUAAAACAUUUUCUGGAAUUAAGUUUAUUUAGGGAAUUCCAAAAAAUAGUGCUAAUUUCUAGAAAUCAUAGAAAUUCAACCGUAGCUCAGAAUGAAAUAAGUUAUAUAUGAAAAAUUAUCAGAAAAAUCCAAUCUAUCCAUAUGUACUGGUUUCAUGCAUGUUUAAACAAGUUAACUUACUGUUUAGUGAAAAACAUGAUAAAGCGCUAUUUAAGAUCACAAAUGAGUUUAAACUUUGAAUCUUUGGUUCAAAAUAGCUCAAACCCAUCUGGUUGUAGUUGCAUUAGCCCAACACACUCAUUUUACCAUGUCAUGAUCAUGCAUCAUAUUGUGCUUUGCAUUGAUUGUGUUUCUUUCUCUGUUGCCGGUAUUUGUCCCCUCUCGAUAGACGUGGUUUCGACGAUGAGAUCGAUGACACUGAUGAAGAACUAUACUAUCUUCAGAAGUGCCAGGCAAGCAAAACCCCCUUGUUCAUUUCGAUACGAUCCCACUCUCUCGCUCCUGCUCUCUUUUACUGCAUUAGGACAACAUCGAUUCAACUGUUACAUGCUGCGGUAGCUGAACCCCUUUUCCUCUGCAUGACCUGUCAUUGCCACAGUAAAUAGAUGAAACCCACUAGCAUGAGUAGGAGUUGUUUGAGCCCUGAUGUGCCUACUCACUCAUGCUUGUUUGUCAUGCCUGCUACUGCUUAGAGUUGAGUCGGGUCUGAUUCAUCGGGAAUGAAUUGGAAUGGUGAUGAACAUGUCCUACUGUGUGUGAGCUAAGUGUGUGAACACGAUUUGGUAAAGGUAGUGGUGAGAGGCCAUAUAGGAGUACAUGGUGGGUCGUCUCAUGGAAACCGUCCUCAGGAACUGAGUUCUGUGUUUGUGAUCGAUGAACACUUACUACCACACAUUGGGAUCCUUAUUUGACUCUCUCGACUUAUUAAUCGCCUUGAUCUCUGUCCAAGAGUUGCAACUAGUUUAUGGUGUUUGUAGGAUAUGUGUUGGAGGCCGUGCAUAGCGCUGACCCUAGGGGUGGGCUAUGAUGCGGUAGAUACACCGUGGCCCGGUGUACCGGGCGCCCGUUUGGUGUCUCGGGAACCCUGCACACAUCGUUUGGGGCUGUGAGCGAAACCCCGGCGGGAUCUCCUCGCGGAUGGAACCCGAAUAGGCGAUAAACCUGGACUAGCGACUGGUGUGGUUUGUCAGGUCGUGGCCGACUCCCUCGCCAGGCUUCCGCUUGAAGGUUGCCGAGAUACACGACGUGUACAUGGUGGUAAGUGGCGAGAGCGUGUGUGAAGAAGUACACCCCUGCAGGGUUAUAAAUGAUCUAUUCGAAUAGCCAUGUCCGCGGUAAAGGACUUUUGGGUUGCCCCUACAGUUCAUAGACAAGUGAAAGUGGAUACUCUAAAACUCGCAAGAUAAGCGUGAGUGCUAUGGAUGGCCUUCUCGUAGGGAGACGGGAGCGGAUCCAUAGUGGUGUAUUGAUAUGGUGAAUAUGUGGACUCGUGUGCGCCACCUCAAAAGAGUUACUUGCAGUCAUAGUUCAGGAUAGCCACCGAGUCAAAGCUGGCUUGCUGCAGUCAAACUCCACCACCCCCUUUAUUGAUACCGAUGCAUAUGUAGAUAGUUCUGAUGUAAGUCUUGCUGGGUACAUUUGUACUCACGUUUUCCUAUUUUAUGUUUUUGCAGAGAGACGUCAGUCUCGCUAGUAGUUCUGCGUGGACUUCGACGUUUAGCUUGUUACCUCAGCUAUGAUCUUGUGCCCUCGACAGGGUCUUGUAGAUAGUCAGGCUUCUCAGCCUUCUUCAUUUUAUAGUUGUCUGUACUCAGACAAGUUAAGCUUCCGCAUGUGCUUGUUUCUUGUAUGCUCUGUAUGUUGGGGUCAUGAGACCCAUGUUUGUAAUUCUUGGCUCCUCGGAGCCUAAUGAAUAAAUACUUUGAGUCGUAGAGUUUCGUUGUGAUGCCAUGUUGUAUUUACACAUAUCGAG